GUAGGUCCCGAGCGUUGUCCGGAUUUAUUGGGCGUAAAGCGAGCGCAGGCGGUUAGAUAAGUCUGAAGUUAAAGGCUGUGGCUUAACCAUAGUACGCUUUGGAAACUGUUUAACUUGAGUGCAAGAGGGGAGAGUGGAAUUCCAUGUGUAGCGGUGAAAUGCGUAGAUAUAUGGAGGAACACCGGUGGCGAAAGCGGCUCUCUGGCUUGUAACUGGCGCUGAGGCUCGAAAGCGUGGGGAGCAAACAGGAUUAGAUACCCUGGUAGUCCACGCCGUAAACGAUGAGUGCUAGGUGUUAGACCCUUUCCGGGGUUUAGUGCCGCAGCUAACGCAUUAAGCACUCCGCCUGGGGAGU
Molecule: ribosomal RNA, 355 nt
Filed under: uncultured bacterium
Lineage: Bacteria
Description: bacterial SSU rRNA
Rfam family: Bacterial small subunit ribosomal RNA
Source: RNAcentral